GACGAACGCUGGCGGCGUGCUUAACACAUGCAAGUCGAACGGAAAGGCCCUGCUUGCAGGGUACUCGAGUGGCGAACGGGUGAGUAACACGUGGGUGAUCUGCCCUGCACUUCGGGAUAAGCCUGGGAAACUGGGUCUAAUACCGGAUAGUAGCCAUUUUUAGUGUGAUGGUUGGAAAGUUUUUUCGGUGUAGGAUGAGCUCGCGGCCUAUCAGCUUGUUGGUGGGGUAAUGGCCUACCAAGGCGGCGACGGGUAGCCGGCCUGAGAGGGUGGACGGCCACAUUGGGACUGAGAUACGGCCCAGACGCCGACGGGAGGCAGCAGUGGGGAAUAUUGCACAAUGGGCGCAAGCCUGAUGCAGCGACGCCGCGUGGGGGAUGACGGCCUUCGGGUUGUAAACUCCUUUCGCUAGGGACGAAGCUUUUUGUGACGGUACCUAGAUAAGAAGCACCGGCUAACUACGUG
This 465-nucleotide ribosomal RNA is filed under the name uncultured bacterium. RNAcentral describes it as "partial 16S ribosomal RNA". It matches the Rfam family "Bacterial small subunit ribosomal RNA", at positions 28 to 507 of the family's 1533-position model. The record is from RNAcentral.